This 1189-nucleotide long non-coding RNA is filed under the name Anolis carolinensis (green anole). RNAcentral's name for it is "lncRNA (ENSACAG00000037658.1)". The record is from RNAcentral. Lineage: Eukaryota; Metazoa; Chordata; Lepidosauria; Squamata; Anolidae.
CAUUAAUUCAAUGGAUUUAGUCCAGCUGAUACUGGCAAUUGAGACUUCAUUCUUACUCUGGUGUAUCACAUCACAACUGUGAAGGCAUGAGCAUUUUGUAAGAUGAGAACAGCCAAGUUUAACUCAUUUAACUAAUCAAAUUACUUAUUGUUUAUUUAUUGCUGGGAAUACAUGGCUGACCAAAAAUGUUUUGCUUGUUCUGCUCACACAUGUAGAGCUGCAGAACUUUAGGAGAAUGGCAUUACACCACUAAACCAGAAGUGCGGCUACAGGACCUUGAAUUGUAGAGACAUUGCAGUUGCAAUUGCGAGUGUCACCAUUUUGGUAAGUAGCCACUCUCCCUGAUCUCACAAAUGUCAUGGGGUAGCUUCAUGGGAUAAAGUUAUUUUACUUUACAAUAUCAUCCAUGAGGCACUUAUAUAUCUGCCAGGACAACCAGACACAAAAGACAACAGAAGUCCUGUAAGGCGGUGAUACUCUGAGAAAAUCUGACUUCCUUAAGGCCACCCAGUGGGUUUUCAUGGCCAACCAGGAAUUUAAACCCUGGUAUUUAGAGUUGUAGUGCAAUGGUCAAACCACUGCUCCACAGGAAGCUGGGAAUCUCUGAAUAAGAGUUGAAUAAAAAGAGCAGAAAAAACAGAGCACGUAGAAAAACAGUCUGAGUUCAUUUUCCCUUGGGGAGAAAAGAACUACAGGUCAUCUAUAGUUGGCUAAAACUGUGUUGCAACCUUGGAAGAGGACAAAGCUAUAAAUAUGACUGUUUGAGGAUUAGGGGCAAUCACUUGCUGGGGUGCCUGUGAACAUAUUGUACGUUCUUUCAUAAAAUAGGUUUUGGAAGACUCUAGGAUCUUUGCAUCCAAAGGGAAGUAAAUCCUAUGAUGCUAUCUCAGAUAUAGCUUGGGGAUUUGUGAAAUGGAGAAAGGCAGCAAAGCACAGCAUGGUUCUUUCAUAAAAUACCUUUUAUUGUAUAAUUUUUGAUGUUUCACUGAUAGCAUCUUCUUUGAUCUAUAAAGAAGGUAUUGCUGAUCACUAGGUCUUUUAUCAUAAUUUUUUUGUGUCAGGAGUGACUUGAGAAAUUGCAAGUCCCUUCUGGUGUGAGAGAAUUGGCUGUCUGCAAGGACAUUUCCCAGCAGAUGCCUGAAUGUUUGGUGUUUUACCAUCCUUGUGGGAGGCUUCUCUCCAUGUCCCC